This is a long non-coding RNA of Delphinapterus leucas (beluga whale), 4169 nucleotides long. RefSeq lists it as uncharacterized. NCBI's taxonomy places the organism in Eukaryota, Metazoa, Chordata, Mammalia, Artiodactyla, Monodontidae. The record is from RefSeq and is a predicted model, not a curated record.
AAAGUGAAAAUGAAACAGUGGUGGAGAAUGCUCCUUUGCUUCUACAGAAGAGUGGAUUGAAGACAGCAUUUGGCAGAAAUUAGAAGACUUUACAGAAAAGAAAUGUGUUCUUUCUUCUUUUUUUCCUUCAUAACGGACCAAAUAUUGCCUACUUGCCAUAGACAUCUGCUGUCAAUACGUGCUGUAAUUUGACAUUCUGAAUCACAGACAUGACGGCAUUGAAAACGUACUUAUACUUGUAAAAAGAAACCAGACAUCCCUUCAAAGUUUCUACACUACUUCUUAAACUGGACCUUUGUCUGCCGUUUAGGCCGGCAGAGUUACUUGAAUCUUCAGUCCAGGCUCUGGACGCGCAGGCUCAGCGGCCAAGGCUCAUGGGCCCAGCCGCUCUGCGGCAUGUGGGAUCCUCCUGGACCGGGGCAAGAACCCGUGUCCCCUGCAUCAGCAGGUGGACUCUCAACCACUGUGCCACCAGGGAAGCCCUGGAUUUACAGUUUUAAACAGUCAUUUACUAAGUCAUUUUGCUUUUAUUUUGAAGAAUAUAAACUGUUGUUUCACUUACACAAAUCAGCAAGAUCUAAUUUAUGGCAAGAAAUAUUCCAUUGACAUUGUUGUGCUGUAACUUGGGAAAAUGUAAAUCUUUUUCACGGUUUCUAUCAAAGUGAAAUAAAAUUUAAUUCUGAAAAAAAAAAAAGAAAGAAAGUCAGUCACACUGGGAAGAACAUUCGUCGAGUGAUCUCUUACUUGAACAUUGGUCGACUGAUCUCUUACUUGAAACACCUAUCUUUCCAAAGAUUAUGACGAGAAGAAGGUUUGAACAAAUAAUGACAUUUCUUCACUUUAACGAUAACUCAGAAACUCCACUUCCUGCAGACAGAAUUUCAAAGUUAAACCUCUUUUGGAUUAUUUUCUGCCAAAAUUUCAAUUGUUCUAUGUACCCAAACAAGAGCUAUCACUUGAUGAGGCAAUGAUAAGGUGGAGAGGACAACUCAGAUUCAAAACCUGUAAUCCUGGAAAACUUACAAAAUAUAGAAUUUUGGUCAGGAUGUUUAGCGAAAGUGAAAUUGGAUGUAUAUGCAGCCUUGAGAUUUACAUGGGUGAAGGAAAGAAACUGCAAGAAACAAUAUUGUUGGUCCUACAACCUUAUCUUGGUUCAUGGCACCAUAUUUACCAAGACAGUUAUUACAACAGUGUGCUCACAUCUGAAAUAAGAGAGAAUCGUGGUCUACUAAACCAAUUAAAGGAGAAAUCUAAAAAUCUACAGAGGGGAGAAAUGACAUUCUUACGGAAGGGAAAGUGAUUCUUCUUAUAUGGAAAGACAAGAGGCUAGUCCUCGUGGUGACAACUAUUCAAGACACCUCCAUAGCAUCUACAGGAAAGGAAUGCAGGAGGACUGGCCAUCAGAUAACUAAGCCCACUUGUAUAUAAGAGUAUAAUAAAUAUAUGAAAGGAGUUGAUCAAUCCAAUCACUAUCUGGCAAACUUCAGUAUCCUCUGGAAAACUCGCAAAUGGUUUAAGAAAGUGGGUUUCUAUUUGAGUAAUUGCGGUUUAUUCAAUGCGUUUAAAAUUUAUUGUAGCUUUAUUGCACAGAGUAAAAUGACUUACAAGCAGUUUUUGUUAGCAGUAGUUAGAGAAUGGGUAACUGACCAUUCUGGUGAAUAUAGUGGUAGUCCUGCACCUGGUCCUUCAAGCCCCCCGCACAGAUCCACCUUGUCGACUAUCAGGUGAAAUAAAAGAACAUAUUCUAGAGGAAAUAACACCCACAGGACUAAAAAAAAUGCUGCCGGGAAUUGUAGAGCCUGCUCUUCCAGGGGAAAGCACAAUGAAACACGGUAUAUUUGUAAUAGAUGUUCUGUUCCCUUGCAGAGAGGUGCCUGCUAUACUGCCUAUCACACUCUAAUGAAAUAUUAGAAUGCUUUAGUAAGACGUAUACAAAGUUUCAAAUAAAUACAUUAAGUGCAAAAAAAGUUGCUGAUAUUUACUCAGACGCCGGUGUUUCAAUAGUCACUUAUGUAACAAAUUGCCAGGCAUGGGCGUUAGUUUCGGCAAAAAUCCCCUGGUCAGUAAUGUGUUAAUUUGGCUAGAUUUAGUAGAAAUGAGGAUAAGUUAGAGAGAAAAAUUAUGUUUCAAUAAUAUACCUUUGGAUAUUGAAGUUUUGUAUUUACUGAGGUUUUGUAUUUAUUCUCUACGUCCAAGAUGGCUCCUUGUUACUAUGUUACAUUAUUGUAAAGUUUAAUUGAAUUAUUAAAAUAAUAUUCUAAGCUUGUUUCUAAAGCCCGUCACAGUAAUCUGUCUUUGGAUGAAGAUCAGAUGCCCUGUGACUUGCAACUAGGAGAUUAUGCACCCUGGAAAAGACAUCAUUUAAAGGACUGUCUCCAAAUUAGACAAAAGGACCCUUAUCAGGAACCAGAAGCCCAGGAAGCAGAUACUGAGUGAAGGAUGGAAACCACGCUGUUGAAAGCUUGCUUUGUGCUGGUUCCUUCGUGUGCGGUGCCUUCAAUCCUACAGCUGGGUGUGGCUUUCCACAUCCUGGAGGGGAAGAAGCAGAGGCUAGGCAAGGCCAAAUGGCCUGCCUGGGGUCCCUUGGCGCUGUGCGUCAGGGCUGGAUGGGUGCUCCAGAUGCCUGCUUUCACAGGGGCUCUGUGUGCCUCCUCUCUGCCACAGAGGCCGAUCGCGGCUUCACUUCACUGUGGAAGGAUCUGAGGAGGGUGCAGUUGCAGGCAUGGUUUGCACAGGAUGUGAAGAGAAGAUUCAAGGGUCAACCCAGAAUAAGGUCGUGUGGGACUGCCCUUUCAAGUCCUUCCUAACUUUGAAAUUCCACAGUCGUGUGAGGUGGGCUUGGUAUGUGAUCUUUGUGUAACAGAUGAAUGGAGUGGAAAGAGUAUUGGGUUUGGAAAUUGGAGGUUACCAGGCGGCCUUUGGCAAAUCAUUUAACUUGUCUGAGCCUGAUUUCCCCCAUCUCCAAAUGGAGAUGAUUCCACUCAUCUCCCACAGGAUGUGAAUGUGUGCUGGGUACCAACAGACUGCUGUCAGGGAGCAGGACAGUUGCAGCUGGGAGGCACACUCACAGUGAAAUGGGGACAUUAUUUGUACCUAUCUCACGUGAUGGUUGUGGGAUUGAAAUGACACGUGCCAGGCACCGAGACUGGCAAAGAGCCAGUGCUUAGUCCUGGGGGCUCUGUUUAUUUUUAUGUUGAUGGAGGCGCUUAGGAGAGAGAGCUCUGGCAGAGAAGCAUUUCCCCCACUCUGCCUCCUGCUCUGCACCUACCAUGAGAAGCCCCUUAUAGGCAUAGACGAUGCCAAGCCAGAUGGUCAUGUGGGUGUUCUCGCAGUGCUCUAGGAGAGGGCGGAUGGAGAUGUCCCGUCCUGCCGGGUCCGGCUGUGCAAAGAGAAAACAGAAACCCAGGGAUGGCACUGGGCACCCUCCCAGCAGCCAGGUCCCUGUUUCAUAGCCCUUUUCCCUCCCAUGAGCCACAGCCAGUGCUACCAUCCAGGAGGCCUUUUGGACCCCAUCUCUGUGUUCCAUGGGACUCAGGCCUCAACCAUUUUUGACUGCCUUCUGUUUGUUGGUCGUGAUUCAGCUCUGACCUUCAGUUAUCUGAGUUCUUCAUGCAUUUCCAGCUUGAGUCAGAGCUCAGGAGUAGGGACUGGGUCACUUCUGUGCCCCUAGUACCUAGCACAAGACCUGGCCCAGAGCAGGCAUCUUUCUAUAACAUUUGUUAAAAGAGUAAGGGUGAGAAUGAAGCACAAAGUUAGGUGUGGAGGCCUUCAGGUGUCUCUGGAAUUAGGUAGUUGGGAGAUAGUGUCUACUGGCUAGACCAAGCACGGGGCCUGCCAAACCCUAUAAGGAAGGAGAUCUUCUUGCCCACCACCUCCAUGGAGGGAGCAGUGGUGGCAGCUGUGUUAUGUACCACAUGAUGCACUCUGGGCCAGAGUUGAUUGGACAAGGGGUGGGCACCUGACCUUAGGUAGCCAAUCUGAGGCUUGUCAGGGACAUAUGAGGUUUCCUAGUGCAAAGUGCUCUCCCAAAGAGGGGUGGUGGAGAGGAUCCAACCCAAGCACCGUUCUCUCUCUCAGGAAUUUGAACUGAGAAGCUCCAGGAGAGAAUCAGCCAGAUGGCGGCAAGAGGAGAAAAAGACAACAAGGGAGUGAAAAAAUAUAUACUGUAG